Molecule: ribosomal RNA, 400 nt
Filed under: Niallia circulans
Lineage: Bacteria; Bacillati; Bacillota; Bacilli; Caryophanales; Bacillaceae
Description: bacterial SSU rRNA
Rfam family: Bacterial small subunit ribosomal RNA
Source: RNAcentral
ACGCCGCGUGAGUGAUGAAGGUUUUCGGAUCGUAAAGCUCUGUUGUUAGGGAAGAACAAGUACAAGAGUAACUGCUUGUACCUUGACGGUACCUAACCAGAAAGCCACGGCUAACUACGUGCCAGCAGCCGCGGUAAUACGUAGGUGGCAAGCGUUGUCCGGAAUUAUUGGGCGUAAAGCGCGCGCAGGCGGUCCUUUAAGUCUGAUGUGAAAGCCCACGGCUCAACCGUGGAGGGUCAUUGGAAACUGGGGGACUUGAGUGCAGAAGAGAAGAGUGGAAUUCCACGUGUAGCGGUGAAAUGCGUAGAGAUGUGGAGGAACACCAGUGGCGAAGGCGACUCUUUGGUCUGUAACUGACGCUGAGGCGCGAAAGCGUGGGGAGCAAACAGGAUUAGAUACC